GAUGAACGCUGGCGGCGUGCCUAAUACAUGCAAGUCGAGCGAACGGACGAGAAGCUUGCUUCUCUGAUGUUAGCGGCGGACGGGUGAGUAACACGUGGAUAACCUACCUAUAAGACUGGGAUAACUUCGGAAAACCGGAGCUAAUACCGGAUAAUAUUUUGAACCGCAUGGUUCAAAAGUGAAAGACGGUCUUGCUGUCACCUAUAGAUGGAUCCGCGCUGCAUUAGCUAGUUGGUAAGGUAACGGCUUACCAAGGCAACGAUGCAUAGCCGACCUGAGAGGGUGAUCGGCCACACUGGAACUGAGACACGGUCCAGACUCCUACGGGAGGCAGCAGUAGGGAAUCUUCCGCAAUGGGCGAAAGCCUGACGGAGCAACGCCGCGUGAGUGAUGAAGGUCUUCGGAUCGUAAAACUCUGUUAUUAGGGAAGAACAUAUGUGUAAGUAACUGUGCACAUCUUGACGGUACCUAAUCAGAAAGCCACGGCUAGCUACGUGC
RNAcentral lists this ribosomal RNA (498 nucleotides) under uncultured bacterium. RNAcentral describes it as "partial 16S ribosomal RNA". It matches the Rfam family "Bacterial small subunit ribosomal RNA", at positions 28 to 508 of the family's 1533-position model. The record is from RNAcentral.